This is a long non-coding RNA of Ictalurus punctatus (channel catfish), 2802 nucleotides long. NCBI's taxonomy places the organism in Eukaryota, Metazoa, Chordata, Actinopteri, Siluriformes, Ictaluridae. The record is from Ensembl.
CCCCCCCCCCCCCCCCAUUUUAGGGCAAAGAAGAUGGAAGUGGUCACUGUAUGAAAUAUGUUUAAACUUUUGCAAUGUUAUUAUAAUAAAGAUCUGCAAUUUAUCUAAAAUCUCUUCCAUUUUGAAGUGUUUUUUUUUUUUUGUAAUCCAAAACCUAUUUCUAUACAGGGAAUAAAUAAUAAACAGUAAACAAACAACAAACACAUCUUCCAGAAAGUUUGACGUGAAAAAUAUGAAUAUCUUUAUCACCAAUUCUCUUAUAAACAUUUUCUUUUUCCAAUUUCUAAGAGGUGAAUGACAUAAUAUGAUACAAAGUUAGUGCUUCAAGACAUUUUUGUGCUAUCUGUACAAAACGAACAAUACGGAAGACUGAAGAAACAAAAACAAAAAUCCCCCUCACAGCAGCAAAAAAUAGAAGAUAAAAUAAAGAGGGAGACAAACACCUGUUCACAUUAAUAAAUCCAUUGCUAUUCUAAAAGCUUAUAAUGACGGUAUACAUACUUUCAUAAGUGGCAAAUAAAUAACUAAUUUAAAAUAGCCUUUUUAAUAAAAUACCAACACCAAGCAAAAUCAAAGCCAUACAAAGUUAUAUCAUGCUGUCAUUCAUACUUUCUCAGACGCUCCAUUUACACCUUUAAAUUAUCUAAAGAUAUUAAUUCAAACAUUGUAAAUAUUAAAACAUCUCAACACAAAAUUCAAGUGAAAAUUUACACAAACCAUCAAAUGAAAUCAAAGAUCAUGAUUGAAGAAAAACUGACUAACUGUCACCCCUUUAAGCUCAAAUCUCUACUAGAGCUGAGGCAAAAUGUCACCGUUCGUUCUAUUAAGACCAAAUACUGAUUAUAUCUCCAUCUGCCUGAAUUAAAUCUGUGGAAUCUCAUACCAUAAAUAACACAUUUAAAUAAAACAUUGGCAUGACUCAAUGUUGAAAAAAUAACCUUCGAGUUAAUAUAUAUUUCCAUGCAGUAUCUCAUCUCACAUCUCAAAAAAGCUUUUAAAAAUGACGAAAAAUCUUUUUUUAUUCUUUUUUUUACGUACAUUAUCAUGUCUUGGGCAGUUUCCAAGCUGCAACUGUUGCUCUGUGAAUAAGUUUUGUGCUCUGAAAUGGCUCCCUAUCUGACAUCUAAUGCACUAAACAGGGUGUUGAGUGGCUAUUAAAGCUUAGCCUUAGGCCCUACAGUGCACUGCAUAAUGAAAUGGAAACCAUUUUGGUAUUAGCCCUGGAAUCAUCAGUCGCACAGACACUUUCCCAUCAUGCACAGAGAAAACAACACAUUCGUCUCAUCAAAAAAAGUCACAACUCUGUAAGAUAAGCAUAGUUCUGAAGCUUCAUAUUUACAUGAAUACAACGCGUGCAAAUGAGCAGAUCGCUUUCCUACACACAGAGAGAAGCAUGAGGUGAGAACCCAGACUUUGUAAUAGGGAGCAUGGAGCUAUACAACAUAUACAUUCACUGAGCACUUUAUUAGGAACACCUGUACACCUACUCAUUCAUGCACCUCUCUAGCCGCCAAUCGUGUGGCAGCAGUGCGGUGCAUAAAAGUGCAGUGCAUCGAGUAAUGUUCACAUAAACCAUUAGAAUGGGGGAAAAUAUGAUCGUGAUUUUGACCGUGGCAUGAUUGUUGUUGCCAGGUGGCCUGGUUUGAGUAUUUCUAUGACCGCUGAUCUCCUGGGACUUUCACACAACAGUUUCUAGAGUUUACUCAGACGGUGCAAUAAAGAAAAACGUACAGAUUGGCAGUUCUGAGCACGGAAACGCCUUCUUGAUGAGAGAGGUCAAUGGAGAAUGGCUAGAUUGGUUCGAGCUGACGGAAAGGCUACAGUAACUCAGAUAACCACUCUGUACAAUUGUGGUGAGCAGAAAAGCAUCUCAAACUGCACAACAUGUCACACCUCGAGUCAGAUAGGCUACAACAGCAGAAGACCACAUAGGUCUGUGAGCCAAGAAUAGAAAGCUGAGGCUGCAGUGGGCACAGACUCACCAAACUGGACAGUUGAAAACUGGAAAAAACGUAGCCUGGUUUGAUGAAUUUCGAUUUCUGCUGAAGGACACAGAUGGAAGGGUCAGAAUUUGGUGCCAACAGCAUGAAUCCAUGGACCCAACCUGCCUUGUGUCAACAGUCCAGACUGGUGGAGGUGGUGUAAUGAUGUGGAGAAUGUUUACAUGACACACUCUGGACUCGUUAAUCCCGAUCAAUCAUCGCUUGAGUGCCACAUCCUACUUGAGUAUUGUAGCUGAUCGAGUUUCAUGAACAUGACAGUGAGUUCAGUGUUCUUCAGUGGUCUUUCCAGGUGACUGGGAUGUGGUACAACGAGAGAUUCGCAGCAUGAAAGUGCACCUGAAAAAUCUGCAGGAAUUGUAUGAUGCAUGUCAUCAUGUCAACAUGGACCAGAAUCUCAUAGGAAUGUUUCCAACAUCUUGUGGAAUCCAUGCCAUGAAGAUUUGAGAUACUAUACUAUUAGCAUAGUGUUCCUAAUAAUGUGCUCAGUGAGUGUAGUUUUUAUGUUUUUUAACACACCCUCAUUGACUUCCCCUCACCACAUGCCAUUUUAAAGCAUCUCACUUUAUUAGCUCAAGGGAAGUUUACAGAUGUGCGUUAGAUGAGGAAGUGAGAGAGCCACUGUUGAAGAGAUCAAUGUAGUAUUAAUGUUCCAGGUGAUAUCAUCAACAAGACCAGGAUACAAAAAAAACAACCCUAUUAUUAAUUAAUGUCUUAGCAAACUUUCAAUACUUGACACCCAAAUACUGGUUUUAAGGCACCCUCAUUAACAAUUCUGAGGUCACUCAGUAGCCCCCCCCCC